UACAGAGGGUGCAAGCGUUGCUCGGAAUCAUUGGGCGUAAAGGGUAGGUAGGUGGUCUCAUUUGUGUGGGGUGAAAGCCUUGGGCUUAACUCAAGAAGUGCCCCGCAAACGGUGAGACUGGAGUCCUAGAGAGGUUAGCGGAAUUCCCGGUGUAGCGGUGAAAUGCGUAGAGAUCGGGAGGAACACCAGAGGCGAAGGCGGCUAACUGGAUAGGCACUGACACUCAACUACGAAAGCGUGGGGAGCAAACAGG
Molecule: ribosomal RNA, 253 nt
Filed under: uncultured bacterium
Lineage: Bacteria
Description: partial 16S ribosomal RNA
Rfam family: Bacterial small subunit ribosomal RNA
Source: RNAcentral